GGCUUUUCUGUCACUGACAACUGAAGGAAUCCUGACGGGUAAUAAGGAAACAUUUUCUGAAACUGAGAGCUGUCCAUACAUGUAAGGGGCUGCCUUUGGGAGGAGUGAGCUCCCCGUCACCAGAAGUGUUCAAGCAGAAGCUGGCAGACCACUUUGGAAGGGAAACUUCAUGCACUGGAGGGAAACUUGAGCUGAAUGACCUUUCAGUCCAAGAUUCCAUGACUACAGUUUCUCUGGAAGACAAGCUUAAAGAGAUUCUGGUUACUUCUCCUGGACUGACACGUGGACAUCACAGGGACAUCCAGAGCAUUCCAGAUCAAAUCGUAUCGGAUCAUAUUCCUCCCAGAUAAGUUCUCUUGACUGGAGACUUGUAGGAAGUUGACUUGAAUUUGGAGGAAGAUGAGGGGAAUGUUGCUUGGUUUGCUGAGGAAAGAAAGGAGAUCCUGUUGCCAAUCUCAAUACGUCUGAAGAGCUCACUCUCUAUGCAGGACGCUCUUCACCAAGAAAAACCGACACAAGACAGCCGUUGUGGGAGGGAGGGUGUGGCGUCCAGACCACAGAGCCGAGCUGUCAGUGUCUGUCCACCGCCUUCUGUCAGGAGCUGGAAUUCUGCAGCUGUCUCCUUUCAUGCCAUAAAUGAUCCCGCUCAUUCAGCCCGAGAUGGGGCUGGGGGUGUGGGGGAGGCAACGGCAGAUAAAACCCCCUGGGGGAGCGUGGUGGACUGGGGUCAGGUAACGCAACCAGAGUUGCCGGAGGCCCUUCAUCCCCCAAGCUCUCAGGCUUAGUUCCACCUGUGUUGAUCAAGAGAAGCCAGGUUCUGCCGUGGUAACAACCACCCCGCCCCCCCCUCCCCGCAAUCUCAGUGCCUUAACACAAUAAAAGUGUAUUUCUCACUUACUGCUGUCACUGGUACGCACUUGUGACCCAGGCAGACAGAGGCUUCAUUUCAACAUAUGCUUCUAAGAAAUGUGGCAAGUUCUUAAAGCUUCUCUCAGGAAGUGCUCUGUGCAACUUCCACUCACAUUUCAUUGGACAAAGCAAGUCACGUGGCUGCACCUAACUUCAGGAAGUGGACUCCUGCCAUGUGAGGCCACAUCCCCACUAAGGCAACUGUGUGGCCUCGGGCAAGUCAGUUAUGUGCUGUCAGCCUCAGCGUCAGUAUCCAUAAAAUGGAGCCUUACCUGACCUCCGUGUUCAUUCCUUCAUUAUUCAUUCAUUCAUUCAGUCAGUCAGUCAGUCAGUGAGUACAGUGUUCUGCGUAGGAGCCCAAACUCCGGAGCCAGCUUCCCUGGCUUCCUGCUCACCUAAAUUAUAUCCUACCUAUAUGACCUCAGGCAAGUGACUUCAUGCCUUCUGGCCCUCAGUUUCUGUGUCUGUGAAGUGGGGCUGAUGGUGGUGCCCAGCUCACGGAGUCGUCAUGCAGGUAGAACACGUGUAUAGUGUAAGUGACACGGAAUAGAGAAAGGCCUUCAACAGCCCUGGCGGAUCGUAAGUGCUCUGUGCCUCUCAGUUUUACUAUUCACGCCCCCAGGUAGCCACGUAUUCAACGAAUUAUUUACCCAGAAUCUUCGCAGGUUGCAUUCGAAGGCUCUUAUGAGAACUGAAGGUGAAAACAGAUGUAAAUCCACACUGCGAAUGACAGGGUACCCACGGGGAAGGGUAAGAGGGAGAGGUGGCCUUUGGGUAGGACCAGGAUUUAUUUUUGCUUCUCUUUAUUGAGCACUAGUAUGUACCAGGCUCUGUACUAAGCGCUUCCACGGGAGCCCUAAGAGCCAGUCCUAUGGACCAGGAACUGGGCUCCAGGAGGUGCGGUUCACUUGUUCCAGGUCCCACAGGUGGGGAGUGUGGGCCUUCCCAGGAUGUGGAGCCAGGACAUGGGCAUCUCGCGUGAAGCCCUCGGCUUUCUCCUGGGCGUGCUGUUAAGAGUCUCUGCUGGCCCUUUAGCCUGCUGGCUUCUCGAACAGAAGGAAAGUUCCUGAAAGGCAGAAGGUGUUCUCCUUAAUUCUUGGGGUUCUCAUGUUGCCUGGGACCACACCAGCAACACCACAGGGUGGCCAGUAGAAAGAGGAGGAGGAGGAGAGAGAAUAAGCCAAAGAUGAGGUUUGGUUUGAGGCCCCGCAGCCGGCUGAUAAUCUUCAGAACGCCCCCUCUCCUGUUGAAGCUUUCGUUUCUUCACCGUUAGCUCCCUAGGCCUUUCUGUCCACAGGGCUUCAUGGGCCCCACUCUUCAAACACGUACAGCUUAAUAGAUGCCUGCUGACUUGGCAAGAGGAUGUGGCCACACUUAAAAGGCAUUUAUUACCAAUUUGAGGCCAUUUGGCCUUUCUUUGACACACUUUAAAGUCAGACAAGCAAAGAUAUUAUCUAAGACAUUACCCAUCUUUCUUCACCUGAGCACGAAUUUUCCAUCUGCCUCAGGUUCUGCCAAAAAAAACGGUGAGGGGAGGAGCAGAGGGGGCCGUGGAGCUCGUGAGCCCUCAUACAACGUGCCCAGAAGUUUCUCAAAGUGAAGGCCCACAAGAGGACCCCAAAGCUCGGAGAGGCUGCCUCGCUGGGUCGUCACUCUGCUGGGACUCUGACCCAGGGCCCGCUCUCUAAGCCCAUGCCUGAGGUUUCCUGUAGAUCGGAAGUCAUGGCAAAGGGACAGGAUGGUGCUUCUAGACGGGGCCUCUCACCCCGGGGACAGUGUUCAUUCUUCAGACCCUUCUGCUGGUCCCCUCUGCAAGGAGGCUCUGAGGACGCUGAGGCUGCCUGUGACUUCCUGUCCUGGCUGGAGGAAGACGUGCGUGCCCCCUGGCUUCCUGGGAACCUUCAGUGGCCCCGGCUUUCCGCGGCUGAGUCACGGGAGCUCAGCCCAAUGUUCUCAGCUGGAACAGUCGUAGGAAAGUGUCUGGAAACUCCCCCAAGUCUUAUCGGCAAAGAUUUUGUUGAAGACAGUUCAGCCGUAUUCCUGCUUCCUCUGCUGUCUGAGACCUCACCUUGCCCCGGGGAGGAUGAGAGAGGCUGGGGAGGCAAGAGGACCAGAAGAUGAUGACCCUGGGCCCAGGGCUGCCCGUCCUGUGGAGCGCUUGCCAGUCCCUGCCCCACACCAUCCAUCCCACUUGUCAACUAGUACCUGGUGCCUAACAUGUACAAGGACUGAGUUAGGCAUUGGUGAUAGUAGAAGAGCCCAGUGGUUAAGAGUGUGUUAGCCAGAUCUGGACUCAAAAUUUGGAUCUGCUGCUUACUGGCUAUGUGACCUCAGGCAGAUUAUUUAACCUCUCUGAGCCUUAUUUUCCUAUCUGUCAUUUAUCAAACCUUGUGGGUUUGUUGUGAGGAUUAAAUGAGAUAAUACAUAUAUGCUCAGCAUAAUGCCUGACACAUCAUAAGCGCUCAAGCAAUAGUAGCUAUUAUUAUUAAGUGCAAAACAAUCAUGUCACAUCUUAAUGAAUUCAGUUCAGUUCCACAACAUUCAUGGAGCACCUGGUGUGUGUCAGGAACCGUGUCUGGCUCUGGGGGAGGUGGGAAGAGAGAAACAAUCCUGCCUUCAAGGAGCUCACCGGAGACAGCCCAUCAGUAAAUUAUGACGAUACCGUGAGCGAUCUAUUAGGGGUGUGAAGAGCAUAGACAUACCUAAGAAGGGUCAGUGCCAGUUUCUGGAGGAGGAGCUGCCUCAGCUGAGACCCCGAAGAGAACAGGAAUCUGCCAGGUGAAGAGAUGGAGGGCUGAAGGGCCAGAGCAGUGAAGCCGGGGGCUCCGGAAGAGGGGACCGCUUGAGCAGAGGGUUAUGCAGUACUCAGGAUGUAGCAUGAAUUGCCUCAAGGAGAUGGAAGGGUCUAGGGCAUAAGGACUCAGGGCUUGCUGUAGGAGAGCUGGGUUCAAGACCGACCUCCUUCUCUUCCUAGCUAUUGACAUGUGGCAAGUCCUCCCCGCAGAGACUUGAUUUCCUCAUCAGUAGAACAGAGAUAACCCAGCCCCUUCACGGGGUAAGGGCCAUGAAUACAGGCUGCUGUGUUUGCGCAGCGACAGGUCUGUUUGUGGCUGAGUGUCUUCUGCUCCAGCAGGGCCUCAGGCCCCGGGCGCCGAGACUUCUGGGCCCUCAGAAGGCGUCACACCAGCUUCCCGAGCAGCGCACUGGCCGCGGGCCGGGCACUGUGGGACUCACCUCGUGAGUCUCACCCAGUCAGACUUCACCGCGCGGAUGCUGAGCAGCAUCCUCAUCCUCACCCAUGUGGUCCAGGACAGAGGGGUUCCCAUCCCUCGGAAACCCCUGGGCAAACCUGGAUGAGUUGCUCACCCAACAAACGGGGACAUAGGAAUUUACCCAGAUCCAGUCCUGCUGCAGGCCAGUGGCUGAGCUGGAAUCUGAACCCAAGCCGUUUGCCCUCUGACGGAGCUCUUAGCCACUGCACUGUUACUUAAACCAAUAAAUGGUGACCUUUCGAAACAGAGGAAUCACCGAACUCUGAUUCAUUCCCAAACAGACCGAUUAGUCUUCCCUGUGUCUAAACUCACUAAUUCUCCUUCCGCACAAUGGGCCCGGCACUCAGUCUUGGACGAUGACACCCAUAGUUCGAAUACUUCAAAUAUUCUCCUGCGAAUAGACUGUAAACAGAGAAGUGAGUAGGGGGAGGAGAGGAAGGGAGCGGGGGCAGUGGGAUGAGGCCACAGCCACCUGCACCUGUCCUCCUGGGACACAGCCGAGUGCAGUCUCGGGCCCUCUGCCCCCAUCACCUCGCCUCUCUCGGGAGCCAGGGGCACCAGAGCCACACACUUGGCAGGCCCCCUCGAGCCCUGGCAGUUGGGCAGCAGCUGUGAAAUGAGAGUUUGGGAGGGACCCUGAGCUGAGCAGCGAGCAGAAGCCAUCAGGACCUUCGGUUUCCUUUCCAGAGCACAUCUGAACCAGCUGCAUGCGGUUGCAGGGCUGGCGGCCCACAAUGGAGGGUGAACUGGAUGCCUGCUGGGCGACAGGCAGGCGCGAUGACACAGGCCAGAGUAUUAUUUACUCCCUGGGAACAGGUGCUGCCCGGGACUUGCCGUCCUCUCUUGCCUGACUCUCCUCUGCCCACAUGUCCCGGCCCUACUCGGAGGCAGCUCCCUCCAUGCCCUGAGCGGGCCCCCGCCCCAGCCCUUGGCAGCAGGCGCCUGGGGGGUGCCAGCGGUGGGCCGGCUCCCCUGGAGACAUGCGCUCUCACUGGAAUCGGCUCAUUUUACAUAAACUGUUGGUGCAGAUGUCAGGUGAUAGCAACUUUCCGGCCCCAGUUAACCUGCCAUUGCCCUGUCCGUGCCCAUGCAGAUGCAACAGAAGGAGCAGAGGGAAAGCCAUGGAAGAGCGAGGAGAAAAUAAUACUGCACGCAAGCAUCUUUGUGGACUGGCAAGUUCGCCUCUGGAAAAUGCCCUCGACUGCGAGCCAGGAGCGGCUUUUCUAUCAGAGGGAAACAAACAACCUGCAGGCGAGCUCCCACUGCCGCCCGCUGCUCUUUCCUCCCUGAUUAUGUGUUAUUUCCUUCAAGCUCUGGUUGGUAAACACGCAGCACUCUUCUGUUGAUUCACACAACAAUACAGAAGGAGGUUAAGGCAUUUCUUUGCACAGUUUGAUUGAGGACAAAUACAGAGGGGAAGUGAGUGAGCAGAAGGCCUGGAGGUCUUGUUUGGCUCAUGAGCUGGACCACAUGCUGCAUUCACCCCAAGUCCUUCUUCCCGAACCCCAGGACCGUCAGAACACAUCAGUGCCAACUGUGAACCAGCUUCUUGGCCCCGGGACGCAGUGGGGGAAAAACGCUCCCAACCCGGCAGUGGAGGGAAGACAAAUAUACGGAUAAUCCCAGCAUGUGGCCCAGGGUCACAGGGCCGUGAGUGACAGAGGCACAUGCUGUGGGUUAGCAGAGAGCAAGACUGCACUUGGCCGAAGAGCUCAGGAGAAAACGGCCACGAGGUUUCCUGGUUCAGACCCUCAUCCUGUGCCCUGGACCACAGAAUCUGCGUCUGCACCGGCAUCCUGCUUGCAAGCUCGUCCCGCUCCGAUGCACCUCUCAUUCUGCUACCAGAGGGGUCUUUCUGACUUACAACUCCAGCAGUUCUCCACUCAUCGAAAACGCUUCAUUGAACUCCAUCACUCCAGGAUAAAGGCCAGCAUGGCCAUCAUCAUCUAGCACCCGCCCCCCCAGCUCCCCUCCCCAGCCUCAUUUCUCAAACUCAUCUUUUCAGAUGGUUUUUACUCCAGUAGUGCUGAACCGUAUGCCAUUUCGCCUUCCUUAGGUCGCCUCCCUGAACUGAACUCCUAUUCAUCCUUCAAAACUCACCUUCCAUAUGACCUCCUCCAAGUAUUGAUCGUGGUGUCUUCUGUGUUGUCUCUCUCUGUCUCGUUCUUCUUAAACUUCUUUGGAUUGUAAUGCUUUAUCUUCCUGUUAAUGUUUACCAAAAGACUGGAGCUUCUGAGGGUUAAGAGUCAUAGAGAGUUCGAGGCGGUGUCCUGGCAUCCAGCAUGGUGCCUGGCGCUUAGCCAUGCUCCACACGUGUUGGUGCCAUCCCUUUCCACCAAAGGAAGGCUGACACCCUGGGGCUGACCAUACCUAGUGUCCCCAGUGCCUACUUCUCCUUUUCUGGAACUUUCUCCCAUAGUCCUCCUCAAACCCUCUUCUAAAGCCUUUAGCUCCCUCCAUCCUAACGCCCUCCUCCCACUGCCAAGAAAAAAAAGCCCGGUCUCAGGUCUCAGGGGAGGAUAAUCUAAACUCUUCCAAAGAGAGCGAGAGAAAGAAAAGGGCCUGAUCUUAAUUGAUCUCCUGUGUCUCUCAUGUCCUAGCGCCUUUGACCCCACAGCAACCCAGUGAACAGAGUAUUUUGACCUCCAUUUUACAGAUUAAGACACUAAAGUUUAGAGACAGCAUGUGACUUUCCCAAGGUCACUCAGCUGAUGAGCAGAGCCAGGAUUCCCACCCAGAGGGUCUGACUCCAAAGAGUUUUCCCCUUUCACUGUAAGAGGGGGUGGAGUUGGGGUAUCUGCCGUUUCCUAGUCACCCUCCACACAAAAAGCGGAAAGCCUCUGUCCUAGUUAUUUCUCCACCCUACAGGUCCCAGGCUGAAAUCCUACUUCUUCCCAGAGGCCCCAUCUCCUGCAGCCAGCCCAGGCCGAUCUUGCCUUCUGCUGACCUCCCGUCUCCCGCGGGACCGCCCGGGUACCAGUGCGUUCCACACUGCACUGGCCUCUGGGGGUUUCUGUGUCAGCAGCUUUUCAUCUCAGUGCGAAGGCUGGGAACAUGCUCCUGCUCCCCAGACAGGAUCUAGGACAAUGCCAGGCACGGGGCAAGAAGCCAACUGACAAGUCCUUUUAUUCCAAAGGUGUGUUGAUUCACAGCUGUAGUGUCCUCUGUUCCACUACCUGCUCCUUUUGUGAUCUUGGACAAGUCACUUCUCUCUCUUUGUACUCCAGUUUCCUCAUCUCCGAAGUAACAAAAUUGGACUUCUGUAAUAAUAUCUAACGUUUCCACUGUGUUUACUCUGUGCCGGGCAUUGCUAUAGUGCCUUACAUCUACUACCUGAUUGAUUCCUCGCAACAACCCUGGGAGGCAUCCACUCUCACGAUCUCAUUUUAUAGAAACAGGAAACCAAAGCACAGAGAGGGUAUGUAGUGUUCCCAAGGCCACACAGCCAGUAAGUGGCAAAACCUGGAUUUAAAGGCAAGCAGUCUGUUCCAGAGUCCAUGCGCUAACCAUUACAUGCAAUGCACCUCCUCUUAGAUUUCUCUUUACGGUGUGGGUGUCUCCUUCAUUCAUUUCACAGCUGUUUACUGGUCCUCUGCUCUGUCCCAGUCACAGGGGCCAGAGUUAGAAAACCCAAUAAGCCCCUGAUUCUGCCCUUGGGGUCCCCCGUGGCGUGGUGCGGAGUGGUGGCUGAGGACCCUCAAGCCUUCUAGGUGUCCUUCUGGAGGGCUGGGCCGGCUACAGCACAAGCACCUCCACCACAUGUCCCCCAAAGUUGGAUUUUUCAGUGCUGUUUUAUUUUCUCGUGGAUUCACACUAUAACUCAGAGUGUCUUUAUCAGGAAUGGGGACUAAGGCCCCUUGACCUGUGGGUGCCCCUGUCCUGGUAUCUGUCAAGUGGUUUGUUGGACUCAGCUGCCUCGUUCCAGGCCCCCCACAACGCAGCUGCAGCAUCACCCUCCACAGGACCCCCCCCCCAGCGGGGGCUGAAGACUCUCUGUUCCCACAAACGUGCCCCUCACUCUUCCUCCUUCCCGUGGUGUCUGCCCGCCCGUCAUGGGCCCGCUCAUCCUUCUUGGCUCAUCACAGAAGCCACCUCCAUGAAGCCUCUCCUGGUUCCCCUCACCAGAUGCAAUCGCUCUGUCCUUGCUCUUCCGUGCGGAGUUCGAGUUCCUCGCAGGCAAGAACACGUUUUAUAGGCAAUUGUCCAAAGCGUGCAAUACAGCAACUCCCAGUGCAGAGCGGAAGGCACCAUUCCCUGGGCUGCAAAGCCCUAAUUUCUAGCCUCUGCUCCUCUAUUGAAUACUUGUGUGACAUAUGACAAGUCGUUGUCAUUUAUUUAUUGUUUGUUUCUCCUGAUCCCUAAAGAAUACAGAAAAGUGUAAAGAAGGCCUAAAUUAUCCAUAAUUCCCACCACUCUUCCUAUUUUGCUCUAUUUCCUUCUUAUCUCUCCUCUAUGCAUGUAGCACAGGUGGAAGUAGAUAUGCUGUAAAUAUUGUUUUGCGACCAUUUUCACUUAAUGUUUUAUGAACAUUGUCUUUGAUGAAAAUCUUUUAUACAGAAUUUUUUUAAAAAAAUUUUUAUUGAGGUAUAAUUUACAGACAGCAAAUGCACCGUUUUUUAAGUGCGUGGUUUUGAUGAGUUCUGACAACUGUGAGCACUCAGUAACCAUCACCACGGUCGGAUUUAGAACAUUUCCACCAUUCCCAGAAGUUCUGAACACUCCUUUGAAGUCAGUCCCCACAUUCCUCCGGGCCCAGGUGACCACGGAUGUGCUUCUACAGCCGGAUUUUUUUUCUUUUGAGGAAGAUUAGCCCUGAGCUAACUACUGCCAAUCCUCGUCUUUUCGCUGAGGAAGGCUGGCCCUGAGCUAACAUCCAAGCCCAUCUUCCUCUACUUUAUAUGUGGGAUGCCUGCCACAGCAUGGCUUGACAAGCAGUGCCAUGUCCGCACCCGAGAUCCGAACCAGAGAAUCCCAGGCCGCAGAAGCAGAAUGUGCGAACUUUACCGCUGCACCACCAGGCCACUACGGCCAGAUUUUGAAUGACCAUGUCAUGCUGCAUCGCAAGGAUGCCUUUCUUGGUUAGGCCAUUUCCCGAUUGUUGGCCACAAGGACAGUAUCUCACUUUUCCCUGUAAUGAAUUACAAUCCAAUGAACAAUCUUUGGUCAUACCUAUGCUUAUGUCCCUGGGAUAAAUGCUCAGACCUAGAGUUGUCGGAUCAAAGGGUACAUACGCACAGUUUUAAGCUUAUGAUAAAUAUUUGAGCAAGUCGCUUUUAAUCGCUCUGAGUCUCAGUUUAGCCAUUUGUAAAAUAGGGACUAAAAAUUCCAGCCUCAAGGAGUUGCGAGGAUGACGUGAGACAAGGUAUAAGGCAUUUCGAGUAACUCAUCAGCCCGGCUGCAAAUCCCUGGGGAGCAGAGUGGGAGGAGAGCCUGGGCCAGGUGGCUCUGGAUUUGAGUCCUGACUCGGCCCCUCUUCUGGCCGUGGCCCUGAGUGAGCUGCCUACCCUCAGCGGCCUCGCCGUUCUCAUGUGUCCAGUGGGAAGCAGGUUCCGUGCUCCCAGGGUUGCUGUGAAGGUUAAGUGAGAUUCUCCCCGUUGGAGCUCAGAGCACUUCCUAGCAGUGAUUAGUUCCGGUCAGGGUUUUCGGUUACAAAUAAAUAGGCACCACUCUGGUUAACUUAAGGAGAGGAGGAAGUUGUUGAAAGGAUAUUGGGUAGCUCACAGAAUCAACAGGAAGGCUAGAGACCCAGGCGUGCAAAACGAGCAGGAACUAAGGUAGAUUGGGCAGCUGAGCACACAGCCCAGGCCCUGCCCCAGGAAGUGUCUCGUUAGGACCUGCGCUGGCACUGCCGCCUCCCGGGCCUCGCUGCCCAGGCCGCCGCCAGACACCCGGCUGGUGUGGCUCCCGUCAUUGCGGGCCAUCCUCCUGUCCAUACCACACGCUCCAGAUUUCCAGUUCCAGAUGGAGGCAUCCAAGUGGCAGAGUCGGGCUUACAGACCAGAGCCCCGGCUGCCAGGGAAUGAGAUGAACAAACGUCUGCUUUCUUUCAGCUUCUGCUGGGCUGCGGGGGGAGAAGGGGGGGCAGUUCCCGGCUUCGUCCCCAAGCCCACAGAGUGUGAGAAUUCCCUAAAAUAGGCAGCAGGCUCAGACGCUGGGUUGCUAAAAGUGAUAAGUCCAUGACGCUAUUAUUUUUAAUAAUGUGAUGACUGAAUAAAUGUUUAGUGAAUUGUGUUUAUUCUAUAAACACAUGCUAAAUGCUAUAGGACAAGCAUCGUUUUAAAGAAACUUCUUCGUGAAUGCUCUGAUAAAAGUUAUGGCAGAUUUGCGCAUUUGGAAGGUGUCAUAUUGGGUUUUCUUCUCGUGGGAACAGGUCUGCAUAAACUUCUAGUGAUUUUAAGGUAUUCGGGUGUGCGUGUGUGUGUAUGGGGUUGGCAUGGAGAGGACACAGGGAGAAGAUAGAAUCUGUGAUCUACUGCAAAUGAGCACUCUUGAUCAAAUCUUCAAAUUCCACUGUCCAUUUCCUUUUGGUUUGAUUUGAUACAAUUUUUCACUAGAACUGGGCAAGUCCAGUUACCCAGGAUGAGGCAGAAAGUCAAGUUGGCCACAGGUAUGGGUAGCCUGGGGGCUGGUCUGAUUUCAGUGGGGGUCGGUUGAACAUAGUUAACAGCUGACUCCUGUUAUUUAUCUUCCAUAGCUAUGAUUUUUUGAGCCCUUAAUGGACAUUGCUUGUUUAAUUCUCACAAUCACCUGUGGUGGGAAAAUGGCGGCCCAGAGCAUAAGAAUAAUCUUUUCAAGGUCACACAGCUAGCAGGUGAAAGAUUGGGGAUUUGAAGCCAGGUCUGCCUGUGGUUGAAUUCAAGGCUCUUAGCUACAAGUGUAGCAAAGCAAACAGUGUGCACAUGGCUCUGGAGAGCUGGGGACAGGGCCACCGUGUCAACAGACAUGUUAGCCAGGUGGACAUAGCAUGAGGAUGAAGCGUGGGAGGCGAGCCCUCCAACAGUCAGCUCAGGCUUCCAGGGCAGAUUCCCAGGCCCAGGGAGGUGGACUAGCCAGUCAUAUGAGAUAUACUUAAAACUUGCUUGUUUUUGCCUUAAAAAUAUUUUGUUGUACUAGAUUGACUGACUAUUUGCAUAUAUGCAAAAUAUCCCUGCCUCUCAUCCCCCAUCCUUCCAGGCAACUAAUGGUACCAGUUUUUAUGUAUUCUGCCAGAGUUCUUUCUAUGCAUCCACAAACAUAAGUAAUGAUUCAUCUGUCCUUCUAUUUGCAACCUAAAUGGUAUCAUACUGUGUGCAUUGUUCUACCCUUCAGUGUGUUCGCUUAACAAUAUGUCUUGGAGAUCUUUCCAUGAUGGUAUACAUAGCUCUUCUUCAUUUUUUAACAGUUGCAUAGUUUUCCAGAGUGUGACCAUUCUAUGAAUAUACCAUAAUUUACUUAACAUGGUCUAUUAAUA
Long non-coding RNA from Equus caballus (horse), 11631 nucleotides. The record is from Ensembl. NCBI's taxonomy places the organism in Eukaryota, Metazoa, Chordata, Mammalia, Perissodactyla, Equidae.